RNAcentral lists this transfer RNA (70 nucleotides) under Loxodonta africana (African savanna elephant). It matches the Rfam family "tRNA". From Rfam's summary of the family: Transfer RNA (tRNA) molecules are approximately 80 nucleotides in length. Their secondary structure includes four short double-helical elements and three loops (D, anti-codon, and T loops). Lineage: Eukaryota; Metazoa; Chordata; Mammalia; Proboscidea; Elephantidae. The record is from Rfam by way of RNAcentral.
GCCCUGGUGGCAUAGUGGUUAAGUGCUAUGGCUGCUAACCAAGAGGCUGGUGGUUCAAAUCCACCAGGCA